CCUACGGGGUGCAGCAGUGGGGAAUAUUGGACAAUGGGCGAAAGCCUGAUCCAGCCAUGCCGCGUGUGUGAAGAAGGCCUUCGGGUUGUAAAGCACUUUCAGUGGGGAAGAAAGCCUUGGGGCUAAUACCCUCGAGGAAGGACAUCACCCACAGAAGAAGCACCGGCUAACUCCGUGCCAGCAGCCGCGGUAAUACGGAGGGUGCGAGCGUUAAUCGGAAUUACUGGGCGUAAAGCGCGCGUAGGCGGUCUGAUAAGCCGGUUGUGAAAGCCCCGGGCUCAACCUGGGAACGGCAUCCGGAACUGUCAGGCUAGAGUGCAGGAGAGGAAGGUAGAAUUCCCGGUGUAGCGGUGAAAUGCGUAGAGAUCGGGAGGAAUACCAGUGGCGAAGGCGGCCUUCUGGACUGACACUGACGCUGAGGUGCGAAAGCGUGGGUAGCAAACAGGACUAGAUACCCGAGUAGUC
RNAcentral lists this ribosomal RNA (465 nucleotides) under Vreelandella stevensii. RNAcentral describes it as "partial 16S ribosomal RNA". It matches the Rfam family "Bacterial small subunit ribosomal RNA", at positions 338 to 795 of the family's 1533-position model. Lineage: Bacteria; Pseudomonadati; Pseudomonadota; Gammaproteobacteria; Oceanospirillales; Halomonadaceae. The record is from RNAcentral.